Molecule: ribosomal RNA, 367 nt
Filed under: uncultured bacterium
Lineage: Bacteria
Description: bacterial SSU rRNA
Rfam family: Bacterial small subunit ribosomal RNA
Source: RNAcentral
GAANGUGGCAAGCGUUGUUCGGAUUCACUGGGCGUACAGGGUGUGUAGGCGGUUUGGUAAGCCUUCUGUUAAAGCUUCGGGCCCAACCCGGAAAGCGCAGAGGGUACUGCCAGGCUAGAGGGCGGGAGAGGAGCGCGGAAUUCCCGGUGUAGCGGUGAAAUGCGUAGAGAUCGGGAGGAAGGCCGGUGGCGAAGGCGGCGCUCUGGAACGUACCUGACGCUGAGACACGAAAGCAUGGGGAGCAAACAGGAUUAGAUACCCUGGUAGUCCACGCCCUAAACUAUGGAUACUAAGUGUCGGCGGGUUACCGCCGGUGCCGCAGCUAACGCAUUAAGUAUCCCGCCUGGGAAGUACGGCCGCAAGGUUG